GACGAACGCUGGCGGCGUGCCUAAUACAUGCAAGUUGAGCGCUGAGGGGAGGUACUUGUUCCUAUUGGGUGAGCAGCGGACGGGUGAGUAACGCGUGGGUAAUCUGCCUUUGAGCGUGGGACAACAUUUGGAAACGAAUGCUAAUACCGCAUAAAAACUUUAAACACAAGUUUUAAGUUUGAAAGAUGCAAUUGCUUCACUCAAAGAUUAUCCCGCGUUGUCUUAGCUAGGUGGUGAGGUAAAGGCUCAACCAGGCGAAGAUACAUAGCCGACCUGAGAGGGUGGUCGGCCCAAUUGGGACUGAGACCACGCCCAAGACCCUACGGGAGGCAGCAGUAGGGAAUCUUCGGCAAAGGACGAAAGGCUGAACGGGCAAAGCCGGGGGAGUUAAGAAGGUUCUCGGAUCGUAAAACUCUGUUGGUAGGGAAGAAAGUUGGUGAGAGUGGAAAGCGCAUCAAGCGACGGUAACUAACCAGAAAGGGACGGCUAACUACGUG
RNAcentral lists this ribosomal RNA (497 nucleotides) under uncultured bacterium. RNAcentral describes it as "partial 16S ribosomal RNA". It matches the Rfam family "Bacterial small subunit ribosomal RNA", at positions 28 to 507 of the family's 1533-position model. The record is from RNAcentral.